RNAcentral lists this ribosomal RNA (606 nucleotides) under uncultured bacterium. RNAcentral describes it as "bacterial SSU rRNA". It matches the Rfam family "Bacterial small subunit ribosomal RNA", at positions 68 to 705 of the family's 1533-position model. The record is from RNAcentral.
GAGAAAAGUGGAGCAAUCCAUGAGUACAGUGGCGUACGGGUGAGUAACACGUGGAUCAUCUACCUUCUAGUGGGGAAUACCCCCGGGAAACUGGGGACAAUACCGCAUAAGCUCGUAAGAGGAAAGCAGCAAUGCGCUGGAAGAGGAGUCCGCGGCUGAUUAGCUAGUUGGCGGGGUAACGGCCCACCAAGGCGAAGAUCGGUAGCCGGCCUGAGAGGGCACACGGCCACACUGGCACUGAAACACGGGCCAGACUCCUACGGGAGGCAGCAGUGGGGAAUCUUGCACAAUGGAGGAAACUCUGAUGCAGCGACGCCGCGUGAGCGAUGAAGCCCUUCGGGGUGUAAAGCUCUUUCGACGGGAACGAUAAUGACGGUACCCGAAGAAGAAGCUGCGGCUAACUACGUGCCAGCAGCCGCGGUAAUACGUAGGGGGCCAGCGUUGCUCGGAAUUACUGGGCGUAAAGGGUCCGUAGGCGGUGCUCUAAGUCUGUUGUGAAAUCUCCCGGCUCAACUGGGAGGGUGCGGCGGAAACUGGAGUGCUCGAGUGUGGGAGAGGUAAGCGGAAUUCCUGGUGUAGCGGUGAAAUGCGUAGAUAUCAGGAGGA